CCCUUAGAUGUUCUGGGCCGCACGCGCGCUACACUGACGAUGGCAACGAGUUUUUCCUUCGCCGAAAGGUGUGGGUAAUCUUUUGAAACAUCGUCGUGCUGGGGAUAGAUCAUUGCAAUUUUUGAUCUUGAACGAGGAAUUCCUAGUAAGCGCGAGUCAUCAGCUCGCGUUGAUUACGUCCCUGCCCUUUGUACACACCGCCCGUCGCUCCUACCGAUACCGGGUGAUGUGCUGAACCUGUUGGACUGAAUUUCAGAAAGACAUGUAAAGCUUAUCACCUAGAGGAAGGAGAAGUCGUAACA
This 302-nucleotide ribosomal RNA is filed under the name uncultured eukaryote. RNAcentral describes it as "partial 18S ribosomal RNA". It matches the Rfam family "Eukaryotic small subunit ribosomal RNA", at positions 1470 to 1796 of the family's 1831-position model. The record is from RNAcentral.